RNAcentral lists this ribosomal RNA (367 nucleotides) under uncultured bacterium. RNAcentral describes it as "bacterial SSU rRNA". It matches the Rfam family "Bacterial small subunit ribosomal RNA", at positions 524 to 898 of the family's 1533-position model. The record is from RNAcentral.
UACAUAGGGGGCAAGCGUUAUCCGGAAUUAUUGGGCGUAAAGGGUGCGUAGGUGGCCGUUUAAGUCUUUGGUGUAAGUGCAAGGCUCAACCUUGUGAUGCUAAAGAAACUGGAUGGCUUGAGUGUGGUAGAGGCAAGUGGAAUUCCAUGUGUAGCGGUAAAAUGCGUAAAUAUAUGGAGGAACACCGGUGGCGAAGGCGGCUUGCUGGGCCACAACUGACACUGAGGCACGAAAGCGUGGGGAGCAAACAGGAUUAGAUACCCUGUUAGUCCACGCCGUAAACGAUGAGUACUAAGUGUAGGGGAAACUCUGUGCUGUAGUUAACGCAAUAAGUACUCCGCCUGAGUAGUACGUACGCAAGUAUGAA